UACGGAGGGUGCGAGCGUUGUCCGGAAUCAUUGGGCGUAAAGGGCGCGUAGGUGGCGGCUUAAGCGUGCGGUGAAAGCUCGGGGCUCAACCCCGAGUCGGCCGUGCGAACUGAGUCGCUUGAGCACUGUAGAGGCAGGCGGAAUUCCGGGUGUAGCGGUGGAAUGCGUAGAGAUCCGGAAGAACACCGGUGGCGAAGGCGGCCUGCUGGGCAGUAGCUGACACUGAGGCACGAAAGCGUGGGGAGCAAACAGG
This 253-nucleotide ribosomal RNA is filed under the name uncultured bacterium. RNAcentral describes it as "partial 16S ribosomal RNA". It matches the Rfam family "Bacterial small subunit ribosomal RNA", at positions 524 to 776 of the family's 1533-position model. The record is from RNAcentral.